This 570-nucleotide ribosomal RNA is filed under the name Triticum aestivum (bread wheat). RNAcentral describes it as "partial small subunit ribosomal RNA". The record is from RNAcentral. Lineage: Eukaryota; Viridiplantae; Streptophyta; Magnoliopsida; Poales; Poaceae.
AUGGCCGCCUUCCGCCUCCUCUUCCUCGUCCUUUCCUGCAUCGCCGCUGGCUGCAACAGUGUUGUCGCUGUCGCGGUCGACGACCAGCCGCUGCCGCAGCAGGAGUUCUGCAUGGCGUCGUCUUCUUCUUCGUGCCCGGAAGCUGCCGUCGACGCUGAGCCGCUCAAGGAGGAGACCAGCGUGAUGUACAAGGAGAAGGCCAGCUCGUUCUUCAGACAUGAUGGUCGCACCAUCAAGGUCGACUUCGUACUCCCCGCCAGCAACAGCAUAGCCGCCGCUGGGGACGAGGACCUGCAGCUGCGGCAGGAAGCCAUGGCGCAGGCCAUUACGGUCCUCUCCCGCUACAGCCCAGAGACCACCGACCAACAGACGCUCAAGCGGGCGAUGGGGGUGGUGAACCUCGAGGCUCAGCGGUGGAAGCCCAUCUUCAGGGCCGUCAACAGGGUGCUGGAGAGCGGCGCCGACGACCGCACCAAGGAGGAGGCGUUCGCCCAGGCCAGGGUGCAGCUCAACCGCGACCUCGGCCAAGAAGGUCCCAACGCCCUCAAGCUCGACUUCCGCUUUCUGUGA